RNAcentral lists this ribosomal RNA (253 nucleotides) under uncultured bacterium. RNAcentral describes it as "partial 16S ribosomal RNA". It matches the Rfam family "Bacterial small subunit ribosomal RNA", at positions 524 to 776 of the family's 1533-position model. The record is from RNAcentral.
UACAGAGGGGGCCAGCGUUAUUCGGAAUUAUUGGGCGUAAAGGGCGCGUAGGCGGCCGAUCAAGUCAGAUGUGAAAGUCCUGGGCUUAACCUGGGGACUGCAUUUGAUACUGAUUGGCUUGAAUGCAGGAGAGGAUAGCGGAAUUCCCAGUGUAGAGGUGAAAUUCGUAGAUAUUGGGAAGAACACCGGUGGCGAAGGCGGCUAUCUGGACUGUGAUUGACGCUGAGGCGCGAAAGCGUGGGGAGCAAACAGG